This 495-nucleotide ribosomal RNA is filed under the name uncultured bacterium. RNAcentral's name for it is "partial 16S ribosomal RNA". It matches the Rfam family "Bacterial small subunit ribosomal RNA", at positions 28 to 507 of the family's 1533-position model. The record is from RNAcentral.
GGCGAACGCUGGCGGCGUGCCUAAUACAUGCAAGUAGAACGCUGAAGGAGGAGCUUGCUCUUCUGGAUGAGUUGCGAACGGGUGAGUAACGCGUAGGUAACCUGCCUGGUAGCGGGGGAUAACUAUUGGAAACGAUAGCUAAUACCGCAUAACAGUAGAUGUUGCAUGACAUUUACUUAAAAGGUGCAAUUGCAUCACUACCAGAUGGACCUGCGUUGUAUUAGCUAGUUGAUGGGGUAACGGCUCACCAAGGCGACGAUACAUAGCCGACCUGAGAGGGGGAACGGCCACACUGGGACUGAGACACGGCCCAGACUCCUACGGGAGGCAGCAGUAGGGAAUCUUCGGCAAUGGACGGAAGUCUGACCGAGCAACGCCGCGUGAGUGAAGAAGGUUGUCGGAUCGUAAAGCUCUGUUGUAAGAGAAGAACGAGUGUGAGAGUGGAAAGUUCACACUGUGACGGUAUCUUACCAGAAAGGGACGGCUAACUACGUG